This is a long non-coding RNA of Amblyraja radiata (thorny skate), 65 nucleotides long. RefSeq lists it as uncharacterized. NCBI's taxonomy places the organism in Eukaryota, Metazoa, Chordata, Chondrichthyes, Rajiformes, Rajidae. The transcript has 3 exons. The record is from RefSeq and is a predicted model, not a curated record.
UUUGUAGGUUAAUUGGCCUCUGUAAAUUGCCGCACGUGUGUAGGGAGCAGGAUAACGCAGAAUAC